Molecule: ribosomal RNA, 524 nt
Filed under: uncultured bacterium
Lineage: Bacteria
Description: bacterial SSU rRNA
Rfam family: Bacterial small subunit ribosomal RNA
Source: RNAcentral
AGAGUUUGAUCCUGGCUCAGGAUGAACGCUAGCGGCAGGCUUAACACAUGCAAGUCGAGGGGCAGCGCGGAGUAGCAAUACUCUGGCGGCGACCGGCGGAAGGGUGCGUAACACGUGAGCGACUUGCCCGUCACAGGGAGAUAACCGCUGGAAACGGCGACUAAUAUCCCAUAUGAUGACGAUCUGCAUGGAUUGUCAUUGAAAGAUUCAUCGGUGGCGGAUAGGCUCGCGGGGCAUUAGCUAGACGGCGGGGCAACGGCCCACCGUGGCGACGAUGCCUAGGGGUUCUGAGAGGAAGACCCCCCACACUGGGACUGAGACACGGCCCAGACUCCUACGGGAGGCAGCAGUGAGGAAUAUUGGUCAAUGGGCGGAAGCCUGAACCAGCCAUGCCGCGUGAAGGACUAAGGCCCUAUGGGUCGUAAACUUCUUUAGACGCAGAGCAAUAAGGGUCUCGAGAGAUCCGAUGAGAGUAUGCGUAGAAUAAGCAUCGGCUAACUCCGUGCCAGCAGCCGCGGUAAUAC